AANCUGAGAAUAAUACUCCAUAGAUNUAGGAUGCUGGAAUGCNCCUAGGUUUAAAGCUCCGGCGCCUAAGGGGUGAGUCUGCGGACUAUCAGGCUGUAGUCAGGGUAAAGACCUGACUAACNUACGACGGAUACGGGUUGUGAGAGCAAUAACCCGGAGACGAUAUCUGAGACACGAUAUCGGGCCCUACGGGGCGCAGCAGGCGCGAAACCUUCACACUGUGCGAAAGCGCGAUGAGGGAAUCCCAAGUGCUUGCUCGUAAGAGUAAGCUGUUUCUAUGUCUAAAAAGCAGAGAGAGUAAGAGCUGGGUAAGACGGGUGCCAGCCGCCGCGGUAAUACCUGCAGCUCAAGUGGUGACCACUAUUAUUGGGCCUAAAACGUUCGUAGCCGGUUUAGUAAAUGCCUGGGUAAAUCGAGCCGCUUAACGGUUCGAAUUCCGGGUAGACUGCUAAACUUGAGACCGGGAGAGGCUAGAGGUACUCCUGGGGUAGAGGUGAAAUUCUGUAAUCCUGGGGGGACCACCAGUGGCGAAGGCGUCUAGCUAGAACGGGUCUGACGGUGAGGGACGAAGCCCUGGGGCGCAAACCGGAUUAGAUACCCGGGUAGUCCAGGGUGUAAACGCUGCUUGCUUGAUGUUAGUUGGGCUCUGAGCCCGAUUAGUGUCGGAGAGAAGUUGUUAAGCAAGCUGCCUGGGAAGUACGGUCGCAAGGCUGAAACUUAAAGGAAUUGGCGGGGGAGCAC
Molecule: ribosomal RNA, 741 nt
Filed under: uncultured archaeon
Lineage: Archaea
Description: bacterial SSU rRNA
Rfam family: Archaeal small subunit ribosomal RNA
Source: RNAcentral